RNAcentral lists this ribosomal RNA (422 nucleotides) under uncultured Flavobacteriaceae bacterium. RNAcentral describes it as "bacterial SSU rRNA". It matches the Rfam family "Bacterial small subunit ribosomal RNA", at positions 355 to 774 of the family's 1533-position model. The record is from RNAcentral. Lineage: Bacteria; Pseudomonadati; Bacteroidota; Flavobacteriia; Flavobacteriales; Flavobacteriaceae.
UGAGGAAUAUUGGACAAUGGGUGAAAGCCUGAUCCAGCCAUCCCGCGUGAAGGACGACGGCCCUACGGGUUGUAAACUUCUUUUAUAUGGGGAUAAACCCAGGUACGUGUACCUGGCUGAAGGUACCAUAUGAAUAAGCACCGGCUAACUCCGUGCCAGCAGCCGCGGUAAUACGGAGGGUGCGAGCGUUAUCCGGAUUUAUUGGGUUUAAAGGGUCCGUAGGCGGGCCUGUAAGUCAGUGGUGAAAUCUCAUAGCUCAACUAUGAAACUGCCAUUGAUACUGCAGGCCUUGAGUGAAUUAGAGGUAGCUGGAAUAAGUAGUGUAGCGGUGAAAUGCAUAGAUAUUACUUAGAACACCAAUUGCGAAGGCAGGUUACCAUGAUUCAACUGACGCUGAGGGACGAAAGCGUGGGGAGCGAACA